GACCAAACCUACGCACGUAGAGGUCGGAGGAGGGUUCAGGAUGAGGAUGAUGACUUCUCUCUCUCUCUCUCUCUCUCUCCCUCUCGUAAGGGGAGGAGGUUGGAGGGGGGGUCGACGGAGGGGAGGGUUUCGAGGGGUGAAGAGGGCGAGGCCGCAGCGUAAGCGGGGCGGGCGGGGCGGCUAAGGGAGCCCAGAAUAGGAGCGAACGCCGGACGGCUGUCGCCCCGAGGGGAGGCGAGCCUCAGAGGGGCGCGGGGCGGCUUAAAGAGCCCAGUAAGAGAGGCCGCCGAGGCCCACGCCCGAAAGCCAGGCCCCGCGGCGCCGGGCGCUAGUAACGACCUCCUCUCGAAAAAAGCGCCUCCCCAGACCACGCCUCAGACGUCAUGGCCGCCGCAGGUAUCCAAUCUAGACCUCCAAAGCCGCGAGACCUAGACUCGACAACCAAAACCCACCUCCUUAGCCCUGACCGCCAGCGUUAGGAGGAUCGGUAAAACCACGACAGGCAAGACCCAAUGAUCCCCCAAACGCACAAGAUUUAUCCCAUACCUGCCGUCUACGUCAUUGAUGAUCAUAGAGAACUUCUUUGAAGUCGACGUCUAGACUUUGGGUAAAAACACGGGGAACGACAUCAACAUCGGGACGGUCUACUCCACUUGGUCCGGCGAAAGAUCACGGGGGAACGGUAACGAACAACGGUCACAACCAACGGUCAAAAUCGAGUUGUUUAGACCGACCUCGGACUAGACGGGUUCGGUCGUAAUCAACACACGAGAGACACAGACCAACUCGUUCCAACGUCGAAGGUAAACAACUAAAGCAGCCGAAACAAAUCAUCGAAACUAUUGGACCUCUGACGUUCGUUUGUCUAGGGCAGGACGUCGAGAUCAUUAUUCCACCACGACCCCCUUCCGUGGUACUGGAUGAAAGGCCUCCUCCACCACCUCGUGUAUAAGUCGAAGAACGGGCGCGUUACACUGGCCUUGUGGCAAAGUGAACAAACGUUCCAUACCAUACUCUAACUUUCCGACUCGGCCGCUUGACAGAAACACCCAUUGACGAUACGACACGCGGGACUCGCGCACCACGAAGCCAAGGGGUUACACGCCCGUGACUGUCACUUCCCCUUUGGUGUGAAGCGACUAAAGUUGGAACACGGUGGACUAACCCCACCCAUGCGGCCUGGUACCUAGCUCCGUCGUCGGUCCCCGACGCACCCAGAACUCCUCGACGCCUACUUCGCCUACCACCACAGUCUACUCUCGGACCUCGACGAACGGUUUAGUAAGGGUGCUAAGUCCCGGGAUCAAGAAUAGUCGACACUCCCCAAGUCGUGGCUACCUGAUCGUCGAUAACGUUCAGUGACGUUCGAGGACUCCCUCAAUCUAAACGUCCUUUUACUCCACCUACUAGCUCCCGGUUCCACCGAGAGGACGAAGGGACUAAGGACGUGCAGGGAACAGAGGAACUUAAAGCGGACGUAGUUUCCCCUCCAAUUACGACCAAGUAAUCUCUCUGAACAACGAUCCAGGGGUUCAGAAGCCUCAAACUCCAACUUAGCUAGACACAGUCAUCUAUGUGAGAGCUUCUAUAAUUACUCGCGGGGAUUAAACCUCCUAGAUCCCUGACCCUUGAACUGUCUACUGAAGGUUCGACUUAGCAUAGAGUCCGACUGGGAACGUAACCUCUUUACGUUUGACGACUCCUCAAAUAGCCCGAAAACCCUACGAAGCGGAAACACGGAAGGUAAGUAGAUAGGACAUACACCCGUUGAUUGUCCAAAUUUGAACUCGAUACGAGGCUGUGAACUAAGAAGACUAGAGUGGUUUUACUAGUCGGUGACACACUUUGAGGUUGCAGAAACCCAUGACCUAACGUAGCGCCUAUUCCCGAACGUUCACCACCGGAGGUCAACGUUCCUAGAUGUUCUUGAGUCCCAUAAGGGUAGUCUGAAGAUAUAGCGGCCCAUAAGGGGUCAUUGUCUCCUCCCUGAACAACGUUAUAGGAACCCGACAGUUUUUGACUCGAGUAACGAUAUAAAAACAGUAGUUUACUGCUUACGACGUGACGAAUGAUAUCGAUUCUUGACGGGUUUAAAGUGCGCCAAGUCUGAGACAUAAGAACUCGGACCCUUCGGACUACGGUACUGUUUGGUUGGUAAUCUACUUCCAAAACCACGAUAACAAGCACUUACGUUUCCCGAUUCCGCUAACAGUUAUAGCCCAGAAGAGUGGCUGUUCCAAAAGUACAUAUAACCAUUUAAGCGCUUUGUUGAACUCUACGAAAGUUAUCGUAAACGACCUCUAUCACUACGCCCUUACUACGUACAAUACCUUCCUACGUUAUUAGACUCCUUCGACCUCUAAUCUCUAUCGGGUAAACCACUACGACGUGAGGACCUCUUACAAUGGUUCAUACUCUGUUACGCUAGGGAAACCUACAGUAGUACGUUACAGUGUCUUUUCCCCACGGUUUAGGAACGUAGUUUCUACGGUUACGAAUUACACCUCCAAUAUUUACUCCAUCUACUCUCGUUACUUUACCUACUCUUGGUACCUUAGGGGUUUCAACUGUUCAAUAUACAAAUGGCGUGUUGACGACCCCGUUCCCUACUACGCGGUUUAAAACAAUUUUAGGAUAUCUCGAUCAACUCUUAACGGACCAUAGAGGAACGACAUAUUCUACCAGCCGCCUUACCUUAGGCCGCCCCCAGACACCUGUCACCGUUCAGAGGGCGACGGGGGGAGCCGAAACGUCGCGGUCCUUUUCGGUGCAGUCACACGAGGAAUAGGACCUCGUAGAGACAGGUCCCUAGGUAGUAAGGGAAAAAUCGCAGACCAGUAUACCGGUGACGGAAAUAGGACACGUAAAAAGAAAAAGAAUUCUCCUGGUGGUUGGUUGGUUAGGAAAGAAAAGGAAAAAGGAGAUGAUACGACAUGAGGCAUCGGUAAACGAAAACUGUAACGGUGUCACCUUACACGGAGUCGACAGCGACAACGAGAACAACAUUUGCAAACAAACUUGGACUGGCUUUGCUGCUACCGGUUACUAGAACGAGGGCACUUUAGUACGUCGUCUCCGACCUUAUUAAACAACGAGUAGUCGGGUAAUGAAGUAAAAGCC
RNAcentral lists this ribosomal RNA (3120 nucleotides) under Triticum aestivum (bread wheat). Its description in RNAcentral is "partial small subunit ribosomal RNA". The record is from RNAcentral. Lineage: Eukaryota; Viridiplantae; Streptophyta; Magnoliopsida; Poales; Poaceae.